RNAcentral lists this ribosomal RNA (301 nucleotides) under uncultured bacterium. RNAcentral's name for it is "partial 16S ribosomal RNA". It matches the Rfam family "Bacterial small subunit ribosomal RNA", at positions 509 to 807 of the family's 1533-position model. The record is from RNAcentral.
CAGUAGCCGCGGGAAUACGGAGGAUCCAAGCGUUAUCCGGAAUCAUUGGGUUUAAAGGGUCCGUAGGCGGUCUUGUAAGUCAGUGGUGAAAGCCCAUCGCUCAACGGUGGAACGGCCAUUGAUACUGCAGGACUUGAAUUAUUGGGAAGUAACUAGAAUAUGUAGUGUAGCGGUGAAAUGCUUAGAGAUUACAUGGAAUACCAAUUGCGAAGGCAGGUUACUACCAAUUGAUUGACGCUGAUGGACGAAAGCGUGGGUAGCGAACAGGAUUAGAUACCCCAGUAGUCCCUGUCUCUUAUAC